GAUGAACGCUAGCUACAGGCUUAACACAUGCAAGUCGAGGGGCAGCAUGAACUUAGCUUGCUAAGUUUGAUGGCGACCGGCGCACGGGUGAGUAACACGUAUCCAACCUUCCGUUUACUCAGGGAUAGCCUUUCGAAAGAAAGAUUAAUACCUGAUAGUAUGGUGAGAUUGCAUGAUAACACCAUUAAAGAUUUAUUGGUAAACGAUGGGGAUGCGUUCCAUUAGGUAGUAGGCGGGGUAACGGCCCACCUAGCCUGCGAUGGAUAGGGGUUCUGAGAGGAAGGUCCCCCCACAUUGGAACUGAGACACGGUCCAAACUCCUACGGGAGGCAGCAGUGAGGAAUAUUGGUCAAAUGGGCGAGAGCCUGAACCAGCCAAGUAGCGUGAAGGAUGAAGGUCCUACGGAUUGUAAACUUCUUUAUACGGGAAUAAACGGAUCCACGUGUGGAUUUUUGCAUGUACCGUAUGAAUAAGGAUCGGCUAAACUCCGUG
Molecule: ribosomal RNA, 492 nt
Filed under: uncultured bacterium
Lineage: Bacteria
Description: bacterial SSU rRNA
Rfam family: Bacterial small subunit ribosomal RNA
Source: RNAcentral